UGAGCAAAAACAGCAAGCUCUUUGCUUAAAGACAGGAACUACUUCUUUCCCAGAGCAUUCCAAUACAUAUGGAUUCUCUCAGUUGAUGCUGCAUAGCCAUGUUCUUGUACAGAAGAAUAUAAUAUAGUCAGCUGAAUCUCAUUUUAUUUAAAAUUGGUGGUCUAAUAUCUUGAACACAUUUUUAUAUAUAUUGACCUCUAUUACAGUGAUUGACCCUAACUUGAAAUAUAUGCACUAUAAAGACAAGUUUGACAUUUAAGGACUCUCAGCUACUUGUUUCCAUUAAAACGUGGUGAACUGUACAGUCAUUCUUCAUCUAAACAAGUUGGGAAGAUAAGGACAAACAGAGCUACAGUAUGAGCUCUGAAAACUCCCAAUAUGCCACAUUGCAAUACUAUCCUGAUCAUCGCAUUCAGCGGUUUAUAGAUCAGUCUUCCCGCUGUCGUGGGCAGAAACCCUGUUUUCAUUCCACUAUGUCCCAAUCCUCUCAAACUAGUGAACUAUUGAGCCAGGAUGUACUUAACCAGUUACUGGAAAUGCUU
Long non-coding RNA from Erpetoichthys calabaricus (reedfish), 542 nucleotides. RefSeq lists it as uncharacterized. The transcript is spliced from 3 exons. The record is from RefSeq and is a predicted model, not a curated record. Lineage: Eukaryota; Metazoa; Chordata; Cladistia; Polypteriformes; Polypteridae.